RNAcentral lists this ribosomal RNA (277 nucleotides) under uncultured Pseudomonas sp. Its description in RNAcentral is "partial 16S ribosomal RNA". It matches the Rfam family "Bacterial small subunit ribosomal RNA", at positions 1107 to 1382 of the family's 1533-position model. The record is from RNAcentral. Lineage: Bacteria; Pseudomonadati; Pseudomonadota; Gammaproteobacteria; Pseudomonadales; Pseudomonadaceae.
GUCCUUAGUUUACCAGCACGUUAUGGUGGGCACUCUAAGGAGACUGCCGGUGACAAACCGGAGGAAGGUGGGGAUGACGUCAAGUCAUCAUGGCCCUUACGGCCUGGGCUACACACGUGCUACAAUGGUCGGUACAAAGGGUUGCCAAGCCGCGAGGUGGAGCUAAUCCCAUAAAACCGAUCGUAGUCCGGAUCGCAGUCUGCAACUCGACUGCGUGAAGUCGGAAUCGCUAGUAAUCGUGAAUCAGAAUGUCACGGUGAAUACGUUCCCGGGCCUU